RNAcentral lists this ribosomal RNA (617 nucleotides) under uncultured bacterium. Its description in RNAcentral is "bacterial SSU rRNA". It matches the Rfam family "Bacterial small subunit ribosomal RNA", at positions 86 to 700 of the family's 1533-position model. The record is from RNAcentral.
UGGCGACGAGUGGCGAACGGGUGAGUAAAGCAUCGGAACGUGCCCAGUAGUGGGGGAUAGCCCGGCGAAAGCCGGAUUAAUACCGCAUACGACCUAAGGGUGAAAGCGGGGGACCGAAAGGCCUCGCGCUAUUGGAGCGGCCGAUGUCAGAUUAGGUAGUUGGUGGGGUAAAGGCCUACCAAGCCGACGAUCUGUAGCUGGUCUGAGAGGACGACCAGCCACACUGGGACUGAGACACGGCCCAGACUCCUACGGGAGGCAGCAGUGGGGAAUUUUGGACAAUGGGCGCAAGCCUGAUCCAGCCAUGCCGCGUGCGGGAAGAAGGCCUUCGGGUUGUAAACCGCUUUUGUCGGGGAGGAAACGCUCUGGGUUAAUACCCUGGGGUAAUGACGGUACCCGAAGAAUAAGCACCGGCUAACUACGUGCCAGCAGCCGCGGUAAUACGUAGGUGCAAGCGUUAAUCGGAAUUACUGGGCGUAAAGCGUGCGCAGGCGGUUGUGCAAGACAGAUGUGAAAUCCCCGGGCUUAACCUGGGAACUGCAUUUGUGACUGCACGGCUAGAGUGCGGCAGAGGGGGAUGGAAUUCCGCGUGUAGCAGUGAAAUGCGUAGAUAUGCG